Long non-coding RNA from Cucumis sativus (cucumber), 968 nucleotides. RefSeq lists it as uncharacterized. The transcript is spliced from 3 exons. The record is from RefSeq and is a predicted model, not a curated record. Lineage: Eukaryota; Viridiplantae; Streptophyta; Magnoliopsida; Cucurbitales; Cucurbitaceae.
CUAAUCAUUUGCAUGCUAUUAAAGACUGCAGUUUUAGCUCAAAUAAAUUCUGAGGACACUCGAACUUUGGCUGUGCAAGAAGAUAUUCUUGAAAAAGAAUUCCUUGAGAUGCAAAAAGUCUUGCUAGCCAUGCAGGAACAGCAACAAAAGCAACUGGAACUGAUUGUUGCUAUGGGAGAAAAAAGGAAACUCAUGGAAAGCAAACAAACGCGGGAUCAAGAACAGACAAGAAUUGAUGGACAAAAUUCAGCCAAUGUGGAAUCAAAAGAACUGGAAGCUUAUGAAAUCUGAGUGUGUCACAAAGGAUUUUGUUGAUGAAACGAGACUGAAGUGGAAUUUCUACACAGUAAGGUGGAUUGUUUCUGUACUUGUGAUCUUGAUUCUUGUGGCUGCUGUUUUCAAAAAAUUUUUAUUUGGUAGUUAUAAAGCUGGAUAAGAAUGCUGGAGAUAUGAAGAGGACUUGAGCCUUUUUCAGCAAUGGUAUGUAUGGAAUUUUGGAAUAUUCAUAACAUAAUGAAGAAUUUGUAUUGUCUGACAGUCAUAGUGUAGAUUUAGGCGAAUUUAGAGUCAAGUUUUGGUUGAUUAUGAAAUGAAGGAUGUAGACAGCCUCACAACCACCUAUAUUGGAAGUGACGGAACCAAAACGCAGGAACCAAUGAUAAAGAAGAAAGAACAGUUCCGGAAGCCAAUUCGAGCCUAGUUUAACUAGUUUUAACACAACCAAUCGACCAAAGGGUCAAAAAGAGUUGAAUCGUCGCCUCUACUUGUUGAACUAAUAAAAGAAUUGGUGGUGAGAGGAAUUGGAAAUGCUAAAGACUUGUUAGAUGGCUCCUCUAAUUUUUGGUAACAUAAUUGUACCACCAGCCUUAGAAACUGAUGCUUGACGUCUUUAAGGUUGAUCCAGUCGACAAAAACAUAGUUUCAUCUUUUGAAAUUAACUCAUCUUCAUAUAUGGGAGUGUUGUUAAA